RNAcentral lists this transfer RNA (74 nucleotides) under Gemmatimonadota bacterium. RNAcentral's name for it is "tRNA-Ala". It matches the Rfam family "tRNA". From Rfam's summary of the family: Transfer RNA (tRNA) molecules are approximately 80 nucleotides in length. Their secondary structure includes four short double-helical elements and three loops (D, anti-codon, and T loops). Further hydrogen bonds mediate the characteristic L-shaped molecular structure. tRNAs have two regions of fundamental functional importance: the anti-codon, which is responsible for specific mRNA codon recognition, and the 3' end, to which the tRNAs corresponding amino acid is attached (by aminoacyl-tRNA synthetases). tRNAs cope with the degeneracy of the genetic code in two manners: having more than one tRNA (with a specific anti-codon) for a particular amino acid; and 'wobble' base-pairing, i.e. permitting non-standard base-pairing at the 3rd anti-codon position. RNAcentral also lists the same sequence under 4 other names. Lineage: Bacteria; Pseudomonadati; Gemmatimonadota. The record is from RNAcentral.
GGGGCCGUAGCUCAGUUUGGGAGAGCGCCUGGAUCGCACCCAGGAGGUCAGGGGUUCGAGCCCCCUCGGCUCCA